RNAcentral lists this unclassified non-coding RNA (289 nucleotides) under Chaetomiaceae sp. Its description in RNAcentral is "partial contains 5.8S ribosomal RNA, internal transcribed spacer 2, and large subunit ribosomal RNA". The stretch from base 1 to 71 matches the Rfam family "5.8S ribosomal RNA", at positions 84 to 154 of the family's 154-position model. The record is from RNAcentral. Lineage: Eukaryota; Fungi; Ascomycota; Sordariomycetes; Sordariales; Chaetomiaceae.
GUGAGUCAUCGAAUCUUUGAACGCACAUUGCGCCCGCCAGUAUUCUGGCGGGCAUGCCUGUUCGAGCGUCAUUUCAACCAUCAAGCCCCGGGCUUGUGUUGGGGACCUGCGGCUGCCGCAGGCCCUGAAAACCAGUGGCGGGCUCGCUAGUCACUCCGAGCGUAGUAGUUUACACCUCGCUCAGGGCGUGCUGCGGGUUCCGGCCGUGAAAAAGCCUUAUUUACCCCAAGGUUGACCUCGGAUCAGGUAGGAAGACCCGCUGAACUUAAGCAUAUCAAUAAGCGGAGGA